UAGGGAAUCUUCCACAAUGGACGCAAGUCUGAUGGAGCAACGCCGCGUGAGUGAAGAAGGGUUUCGGCUCGUAAAGCUCUGUUGUUAAAGAAGAACGUGGGUAAGAGUAACUGUUUACCCAGUGACGGUAUUUAACCAGAAAGCCACGGCUAACUACGUGCCA
This 163-nucleotide ribosomal RNA is filed under the name uncultured bacterium. RNAcentral describes it as "partial 16S ribosomal RNA". It matches the Rfam family "Bacterial small subunit ribosomal RNA", at positions 355 to 510 of the family's 1533-position model. The record is from RNAcentral.